CAGCCUCCGCGGUAAUACCGGCGGCCCGAGUGGCGGUCACUAUUAUUGGGCUUAAAGCGUCCGUAGCCGGGUUGGGAAGUCCUCCGGGAAAUCUGGCCGCUUAACGGUCAGAAUGCCGGAGGAUACUCCCAGCCUAGGGAGCGGGAGAGGCCGAGGGUAUUCCCGGAGUAGGGGUGAAAUCCUAUAAUCCCGGGAGGACCACCUGUGGCGAAGGCGCUCGGCUGGAACGCGUCCGACGGUGAGGGACGAAGGCCAGGGGAGCAAACCGGAUUAGAUACCCGGGUAGUCCUGGCUGUAAACGAUGCGGACUUUGUGUCGGACAAGCUAUGAGCUUGUCCGGUGCCGGAGGGAAACCGUUAAGUCCGCCGCCUGGGGAGUACGGCCGCAAGGCUGAAACUUAAAGGAAUUGGCGGG
Molecule: ribosomal RNA, 414 nt
Filed under: uncultured microorganism
Description: bacterial SSU rRNA
Rfam family: Archaeal small subunit ribosomal RNA
Source: RNAcentral